This 890-nucleotide ribosomal RNA is filed under the name Verruciconidia persicina. RNAcentral's name for it is "LSU rRNA". It matches the Rfam family "Eukaryotic large subunit ribosomal RNA", at positions 38 to 964 of the family's 3401-position model. Lineage: Eukaryota; Fungi; Ascomycota; Sordariomycetes; Hypocreales; Bionectriaceae. The record is from RNAcentral.
GCAUAUCAAUAAGCGGAGGAAAAGAAACCAACAGGGGAUUGCCUCAGUAACGGCGAGUGAAGCGGCAACAGCUCAAAUUUGAAAUCUGGCCCUAGGCCCGAGUUGUAAUUUGCAGAGGAUGUUUCUGGCGAGGUGCCUUCCGAGUUCCCUGGAACGGGACGCCAUAGAGGGUGAGAGCCCCGUACGGUUGGUCGCUAAGCCUCUGUGAAACUCCUUCGACGAGUCGAGUAGUUUGGGAAUGCUGCUCUAAAUGGGAGGUAUACGUCUUCUAAAGCUAAAUACCGGCCAGAGACCGAUAGCGCACAAGUAGAGUGAUCGAAAGAUGAAAAGCACUUUGAAAAGAGGGUUAAAUAGUACGUGAAAUUGUUGAAAGGGAAGCGCUUAUGACCAGACUUGGACCGGUUGAUCAUCCAUCGUUCUCGGUGGUGCACUCUGCCGGUUCAGGCCAGCAUCAGUUCGUCCCGGGGGAUAAAGGCUUUGGGAAUGUGGCUCUUCGGAGUGUUAUAGCCCACUGCGUAAUACCCUGGGAUGGACUGAGGUUCGCGCUCCGCAAGGAUGCUGGCGUAAUGGUCAUCAGUGACCCGUCUUGAAACACGGACCAAGGAGUCGUCUUCGUAUGCGAGUGUUCGGGUGUCAAACCCCUACGCGUAAUGAAAGUGAACGUAGGAGAGAGCUUCGGCGCAUCUCCGACCGAUCCUGAUGUUCUCGGAUGGAUUUGAGUAAGAGCAUACGGGGCCGGACCCGAAAGAAGGUGAACUAUGCUUGUAUAGGGUGAAGCCAGAGGAAACUCUGGUGGAGGCUCGCAGCGGUUCUGACGUGCAAAUCGAUCGUCAAAUAUGAGCAUGGGGGCGAAAGACUAAUCGAACCUUCUAGUAGCUGGUUUCCGCCGA